Molecule: transfer RNA, 73 nt
Filed under: Ixodes scapularis (black-legged tick)
Lineage: Eukaryota; Metazoa; Arthropoda; Arachnida; Ixodida; Ixodidae
Rfam family: tRNA
About the family: Transfer RNA (tRNA) molecules are approximately 80 nucleotides in length. Their secondary structure includes four short double-helical elements and three loops (D, anti-codon, and T loops). Further hydrogen bonds mediate the characteristic L-shaped molecular structure. tRNAs have two regions of fundamental functional importance: the anti-codon, which is responsible for specific mRNA codon recognition, and the 3' end, to which the tRNAs corresponding amino acid is attached (by aminoacyl-tRNA synthetases). tRNAs cope with the degeneracy of the genetic code in two manners: having more than one tRNA (with a specific anti-codon) for a particular amino acid; and 'wobble' base-pairing, i.e. permitting non-standard base-pairing at the 3rd anti-codon position.
Source: Rfam by way of RNAcentral
UCCUGGUUAGCUCAGUUAAUAGAACGCUCCACUGGAAAUCGAGAGGUCCCUAGUUUGAUACCAGGACCAGGUU